This 1290-nucleotide ribosomal RNA is filed under the name Chelonibia testudinaria. Its description in RNAcentral is "16S ribosomal RNA". The stretch from base 849 to 1213 matches the Rfam family "Bacterial large subunit ribosomal RNA", at positions 2073 to 2647 of the family's 2925-position model. Lineage: Eukaryota; Metazoa; Arthropoda; Thecostraca; Balanomorpha; Chelonibiidae. The record is from RNAcentral.
UGAUAAAAAUAGUGUUAAAUUUUUUCUUUGAAGUAUAGAAAAUUUAGUAGUGUUAGUGAAAUUUUAAUAUAACUAUAGAGUAAUAGUACAGUGAUGGAACUUUGAAAUAUUUGAAAAGGUUACAGAAAAUAAGUAUAAUUUAACAUUAGUACCUUUUGUAUCAGUGCUUAUCAAAUUAAUAUUAUAAAAUGUUUUCUCGAAAAUAAAAGAUCUAAAAAAGUUUAGAUGUUUUUGUAUCAACAAAAUUUUCAAAAUUUUUUUAGGUGUGAAAUUCUAAUCGUUUUUAUUAAUAUCUAGUUACUUAGGAAAUAAAUUUAGUUUGAGAGCUUGAGAUAAACUAUAAUUUUUAUUGUAUUUAAAUGGCCCUUUAUGCCUUAGGGGAUGAGCUCUAAGGUAAAUUUAAAAGAUGAAUGAUAAAUAUUUUUUAGGUAGGCUUAGAAUUAGCCACUUUAUAAUGUUAUAAAAUAGAAUUUUAAGAAUGAGAUUUUUGUAUCUUUUAAUUUUACUGAGUUAGUUUCAAAUUUAAUAACAAUCGAAAAAAUGAUAGGAUUAGUAGAGAAAUAUAUAAGGUUGAAUUAUUAAAUUAAGCCCGAAAUUAUAAAUUUAAAAAAUACAACUAAAGAACUCGGCAAAAAAGAUUUCCGAAUGUUUAACAAAAACAUUUCCUCUUAGUAAAAGAGGUAAGACCUGCUCACUGAGAUUUAAAGAGCCGCAGUAUCCUGACUGUGCUAAGGUAGCAUAAUCAUUAGUCUUUUAAUUGGAGACUGGUAUGAAUGGUUAAACGAGAAAUCAACUUUUUUUGUUGUAAAGCUUGAAUUUAACUUUUUAGUGAAAAGGCUAAAAUUUUUCAAAAAGACGAGAAGACCCUAUAGAGUUUUAUAAUCAAGGGAAUAUUUCUUUCUUAGAUUUUUAUGAGAGGUAUUUACUGUAGUUAUUUUGUUGGGGCGACAUUUAGAUAUAAAAAACUCUUUAUUUUUAAAACUUUUAUGAAAGGUAAAUUGAUCCUUUAAAAAAGAUCAUAAGAAAAAAUUACCUUAGGGAUAACAGCGUAAUCUUUUUUGAGAGUUCUAAUCGACAAAAAGGUUUGCGACCUCGAUGUUGGACUAAAAUUAAGGCAGGGUGCAGCAGUUCUGCUAUAAGGUCUGUUCGACCUAUAAUUUUUUACACGAUCUGAGUUCAGACCGGCGUAAGCCAGGUUGGUUUCUAUCUUUUGAUCUUUUUAAAUCAAUUUAGUACGAAAGGAUUGAUUGGUUGUAAGAUUUAUUUGUUGGGAGUAAAAUUAACAUAGAA